RNAcentral lists this transfer RNA (88 nucleotides) under Candidatus Chromulinivorax destructor. Its description in RNAcentral is "Candidatus Dependentiae bacterium (ex Spumella elongata CCAP 955/1) tRNA-Leu". It matches the Rfam family "tRNA". From Rfam's summary of the family: Transfer RNA (tRNA) molecules are approximately 80 nucleotides in length. Lineage: Bacteria; Candidatus Babeliae; Candidatus Babeliales; Candidatus Chromulinivoracaceae. The record is from RNAcentral.
GCCGAGGUGGCGAAAUUGGUAGACGCAAAGGACUUAAAAUCCUUCGAGCUUUACGCUUGUGCCGGUUCGAGUCCGGCCCUCGGCACCA